UACUUGACCAUCGGAUGGGCUUUCUCUUAUACACUUAAUGGGUUCUUUCUUUCAUUAUUAAUUUUAUGAAAGUAAAAAACGCAGCCAGAUAGAAAGAGACCAAUGUCUUCUUCGGGUAAGGAUAUCCAGUUUUAGGGUUCAUGAUUCUCCUUCAAUCUCUGACGAUCUUCAACAACAAUGGAGUUUCAGGAGGGUGAGUGAGCGAAUCGUCGUGAAUAAUAUAUUUGUCAAGCAUCUAUUGUGUCGGUUCCUCUUAUCCUCCGAAACGUUACGAGGUAUUGAUUCAUCGCAUUCAACAAACUCCAUCGACCUAUAUCUAGCACGAUUUCACAUUCAAUGUUCCUUAUCCCUUUGAUGGGCGGUGUAUCUUGACCUAUAAAAAAUUGAGUCUUCAUCCCUUGAAGUCUGACCGUUGUUCUUCCACCGUUGAGGCGUGGCUGCUCAGAUUUUGGGAAGUCAGAAACCUGAAACGCGACGGGGAGUUGAUAGGCGUGGACUUAUGCAAAGAUCGAUGCUCCACUGAAUGAGAGGGAUGGAAAAGUUCUAAUGAUGGUUCUACUUCUCCACCACAAUGGAGCUGCGAAAAUAAGAACAAGCUUACAGUGAAUAAAUCAUGAGUGAAACCCAUUCAAAACCCAUUGUGUCAACAGAAAAUAGUCCAUUUUUUUAAAUCAGUUUUUCAUUUGUCAUUCAGGUCUGAUUCAUGUGUUUGUCACAUGUUGUUCUUAACUCUGAUCGUGCUAUAUACAAUACAAGUGCUUCUCUCAAGCUGUCUGAUUAUUUCUUUAUUGAUUUCUUGGAUGAAGAUGAGAUGCUAAGAAAGCUAUGGAAGUUUGCAAAGUUUGGUGAUCAAAUGGGGCUAAAUGGGAAGGCUUUAGGCGACAGAGAAACAAAGAAUUAGCAAAAAUAAGUUUACAGUUGUAGGAGUUCCCCCACAUGCAUCACAUGGUCUGUAAGAAAUAAUAUUCUUGGCUUAGGACAUAACAGGAUUUAUCCCUGGAUGGAAUGUAGGUAGGGUGUCAUCGCAAAACUAUUACGAAAUUGCACUAGCUCACUUUCCAAUUUUUAGAUUAUUUCACCUUAUUUU
Molecule: long non-coding RNA, 1087 nt
Organism: Brassica napus (rape)
Lineage: Eukaryota; Viridiplantae; Streptophyta; Magnoliopsida; Brassicales; Brassicaceae
Exons: 3
Source: RefSeq, a predicted model, not a curated record